ACUACGGGGGGCUGCAGUGGGGAAUAUUGGGCAAUGGGCGCAAGCCUGACCCAGCAACGCCGCGUGAAGGAAGAAGGCUUUCGGGUUGUAAACUUCUUUUAAGAGGGAAGAGCAGAAGACGGUACCUCUUGAAUAAGCCACGGCUAACUACGUGCCAGCAGCCGCGGUAAUACGUCGGGGGCAAGCGUUGUCCGGAUUUACGGGGUGGAAAGGGCGUGCAGCCGGGAAGACAAGUCAGAUGUGAAAUCCCGCGGCUCAACCUCGGAACUGCAUUUGAAACUGUUUUUCUUGAGUACCGGAGAGGUCAUCGGAAUUCCUUGUGUAGCCGUGAAAUGCGUAGAUAUCAGGAAGAACACCAGUGGCGAAGGCGGCUGACUGGACGGCAACUGACGGUGAGGCGCGCAAGCGUGGGGAGCAAACAGGAUUAGAUACCCCGGUAGUC
Molecule: ribosomal RNA, 442 nt
Filed under: uncultured bacterium
Lineage: Bacteria
Description: partial 16S ribosomal RNA
Rfam family: Bacterial small subunit ribosomal RNA
Source: RNAcentral